Molecule: ribosomal RNA, 678 nt
Filed under: uncultured bacterium
Lineage: Bacteria
Description: bacterial SSU rRNA
Rfam family: Bacterial small subunit ribosomal RNA
Source: RNAcentral
GGCGGACGGGUGAGUAACGCGUAAGGAACUUGCCUCUUGGACUGGGACAACUGUUGGAAACGACAGCUAAUACCGGAUAUUAUGAGAUUCUCGCAUGAGAAACUUAUGAAAGCUAUAUGCGCCAAGAGAGAGCCUUGCAUUCCAUUAGCUAGUUGGUGGGGUAACGGCCCACCAAGGCGACGAUGGAUAGCCGGCCUGAGAGGGUGAACGGCCACAAGGGGACUGAGACACGGCCCUUACUCCUACGGGAGGCAGCAGUGGGGAAUAUUGGACAAUGGGCCACAAGCCUGAUCCAGCAAUUCUGUGUGCACGAUGAAGGUCUUCGGAUUGUAAAGUGCUUUCAGUUGGGAAGAAGAAAGUGACGGUACCAACAGAAGAAGCGACGGCUAAAUACGUGCCAGCAGCCGCGGUAAUACGUAUGUCGCAAGCGUUAUCCGGAUUUAUUGGGCGUAAAGCGCGUCUAGGCGGAAAAAUAAGUCUGAUGUUAAAAUGCGGGGCUCAACUCCGUAUUGCGUUGGAAACUGUUUUUCUAGAGUACUGGAGAGGUGGGCGGAACUACAAGUGUAGAGGUGAAAUUCGUAGAUAUUUGUAGGAAUGCCGAUGGAGAAGUCAGCUCACUGGACAGAUACUGACGCUGAAGCGCGAAAGCGUGGGGAGCAAACAGGAUUAGAUACCCUG